CGCCUUGCCAGCCCGCUCAGAAACUUAAAGGAAUUGACGGGGCCCGCACAGGCGGUGGAGUAUGUGGUUUAAUCGAUGCAACGCGAAGAACCUUACCUGGUCUUGACAUCCCGGAGACCCUUAGGAAACUAGGGGGUGCUUCCAUCUGGAAGAAUCUGGAGACAGGUGCUGCAUGGCUGUCGUCAGCUCGUGUCGUGAGAUGUUGGGUUAAGUCCCGCAACGAGCGCAACCCUUGCCUUUAGUUGCCAGCAGUUCGGCUGGGCACUCUAAAGGGACUGCCGGUGUUAAACCGGAGGAAGGUGGGGAUGACGUCAAGUCCUCAUGGCCUUUAUGACCAGGGCUACACACGUACUACAAUGGCCGAUACAAAGGGCAGCGACACUGCGAGGUGAAGCCAAUCCCGUAAAAUCGGUCUCAGUCCGGAUUGGAGUCUGCAACUCGACUCCAUGAAGUUGGAAUCGCUAGUAAUCGUGGAUCAGCAUGCCACGGUGAAUACGUUCCCGGGCCUU
RNAcentral lists this ribosomal RNA (509 nucleotides) under uncultured Desulfobulbus sp. Its description in RNAcentral is "bacterial SSU rRNA". It matches the Rfam family "Bacterial small subunit ribosomal RNA", at positions 903 to 1382 of the family's 1533-position model. Lineage: Bacteria; Pseudomonadati; Thermodesulfobacteriota; Desulfobulbia; Desulfobulbales; Desulfobulbaceae. The record is from RNAcentral.